Molecule: long non-coding RNA, 1447 nt
Organism: Myotis myotis
Lineage: Eukaryota; Metazoa; Chordata; Mammalia; Chiroptera; Vespertilionidae
Exons: 3
Source: RefSeq, a predicted model, not a curated record
AACCGUAGGAGGUUGGCUGCCGGCCCCAAGGAGGGAGCAGGCCCCCUUGGGAAAAGGGCCUCAUCUGCUGCCACCCACCCCCAGUUUCCUGUCUCAGCCUGGGCCCUGAAGGCCCCAGCAGGGUUGGGAGAAGAGGCAAUGAGCUGGGCACAGAAGGAAUUGACGCUGAUGCCCCUGUUAGCAGCCCGCCACUGCACGGUUCCCACCUUUUCUCCCCCUCCUUCCCUCACCACUGCGCCACCACCACUGCGGGUGGGUGGUGGAUCGGAUCGGGGCCUGCUGGCUGGAGGGAGGGACAGGGCGUAGGAGGUUGGCUGCCGGCCCUGAGGCCCUCCUGGGAAAGGGUCUGUAUCUACCACAACCCACCUGCAGGAGGUUGGUCAGCAGGAAGAGGUUGGCUGUGGGAGCGUACUGACCACCAGGGGGCAGCUCCUGUGUUGAAUGUCUGCCCCCUGUUGGUCAGUGCACGUCAUAGCGACUGGUCGUUCCGAUUGUUCUGGUUGUUCGGUUUUAACAGUUGCUUAGGCUUUUAUGUACAUAGAUUAACUGUACGAUGAAGUCUAAUUCAAUCCUCCAUCAACCAUGGGAGACUGGUGUUAUGGAAGGAUUGCUAGCUUCCCACAGUAUCCAUCCUCCUGUCAUUUAGCUGGCUACUUGGCUGCCUGAAAUAAAGACCACAGUUCCCAACCUCCCUUGCAGGUAGGUACAGCCAAGGACUAAGUUCUUAUUAAAGAGAUGUCAGUGAAAGUGCUGUAUGCAACUUUUUUUCUUUUUUCUUCUUGGCUGGAAUAUAGUUGUGGUAACUGAAGCUAGAGCAGCCAUGUUGGACCUCACAGGAAGAUGCAGGGUGGUGGAGCAACCCCCCUAGGAGAAGUCUGGGACCCAGUGACUAUGGAAUGAUCAUGCCAACCCUGGUCUGCUUACCUUCAGACCUCAUAUACAUGUUCAGGAAACUCUGUCUUGUCUAAGUUACUGUUACUUGUGUUUUCAGCUGAAAGUAGUCCUAAUGGAUACGCCUGAGCUGUUCUGUCCCAGUGGAGAUGUGCUAAAACAGUUAAUGGCUCUGCGCCCAGACCUGACCCCUGCAGAUCCCAUUUGCAAUGACCAUCACAGGCAGAUGGAUCACCACCACAGCUAGUAACCCCAAAGAUGGCCCAUCAGUCAAAUCUGCAAGUUUGAGAGUUGGCUGAGGAGCUUCUGACACCUGGAAGUCACGGGAGCUGUUCUGAAGGCACUGUGAGGUCAUAGGAAUCUGAGUCACAGGUCACUUCAAAGCGCAUGCUCUUGCUUACGCGCUGAGAUGACACAGACCUACUUGGAAUGCUUUAGAAAGCCGCCAAGCCCUUCCUGCUCUCCAUCUUUCCUUUGCUGAUGUCUGCUCCUACUUCACUUAUUACAUAUUUCAAACUGGCACCAGGAAGAGAUGACACUGCUUUCAUUGCUAUAC